RNAcentral lists this ribosomal RNA (1436 nucleotides) under uncultured organism. RNAcentral describes it as "partial small subunit ribosomal RNA". It matches the Rfam family "Bacterial small subunit ribosomal RNA". The record is from RNAcentral.
GCGGCGUGCUUAACACAUGCAAGUCGAACGGAAAGGCCCUGCUUUUGUGGGGUGCUCGAGUGGCGAACGGGUGAGUAACACGUGAGUAACCUGCCCUUGACUUUGGGAUAACUUCAGGAAACUGGGGCUAAUACCGGAUAGGAGCUCCUGCUGCAUGGUGGGGGUUGGAAAGUUUCGGCGGUUGGGGAUGGACUCGCGGCUUAUCAGCUUGUUGGUGGGGUAGUGGCUUACCAAGGCUUUGACGGGUAGCCGGCCUGAGAGGGUGACCGGCCACAUUGGGACUGAGAUACGGCCCAGACUCCUACGGGAGGCAGCAGUGGGGAAUAUUGCACAAUGGGCGGAAGCCUGAUGCAGCAACGCCGCGUGCGGGAUGACGGCCUUCGGGUUGUAAACCGCUUUCGCCUGUGACGAAGCGUGAGUGACGGUAAUGGGUAAAGAAGCACCGGCUAACUACGUGCCAGCAGCCGCGGUGAUACGUAGGGUGCGAGCGUUGUCCGGAUUUAUUGGGCGUAAAGGGCUCGUAGGUGGUUGAUCGCGUCGGAAGUGUAAUCUUGGGGCUUAACCCUGAGCGUGCUUUCGAUACGGGUGACUGAGGGGAAGGUAGGGGAGAAUGGAAUUCCUGGUGGAGCGGUGGAAUGCGCAGAUAUCAGGAGGAACACCAGUGGCGAAGGCGGUUCUCUGGGCCUUUCCUGACGCUGAGGAGCGAAAGCGUGGGGAGCGAACAGGCUUAGAUACCCUGGUAGUCCACGCUGUAAACGGUGGGUACUAGGUGUGGGGUCCAUUCCACGGGUUCCGUGCCGUAGCUAACGCUUUAAGUACCCCGCCUGGGGAGUACGGCCGCAAGGCUAAAACUCAAAGGAAUUGACGGGGCCCCGCACAAGCGGCGGAGCAUGCGGAUUAAUUCGAUGCAACGCGUAGAACCUUACCUGGGUUUGACAUGGAUCGGGAGUGCUCAGAGAUGGGUGUGCCUCUUUUGGGGUCGGUUCACAGGUGGUGCAUGGCUGUCGUCAGCUCGUGUCGUGAGAUGUUGGGUUAAGUCCCGCAACGAGCGCAACCCUUGUUCACUGUUGCCAGCACGUUAUGGUGGGGACUCAGUGGAGACCGCCGGGGUCAACUCGGAGGAAGGUGGGGAUGACGUCAAGUCAUCAUGCCCCUUAUGUCCAGGGCUUCACGCAUGCUACAAUGGCUGGUACAGAGAGUGGCGAGCCUGUGAGGGUGAGCGAAUCUCGGAAAGCCGGUCUCAGUUCGGAUUGGGGUCUGCAACUCGACCUCAUGAAGUCGGAGUCGCUAGUAAUCGCAGAUCAGCAACGCUGCGGUGAAUACGUUCCCGGGGCUUGUACACACCGCCCGUCAAGUCAUGAAAGUUGGUAACACCCGAAGCCGGUGGCCUAACCGUUGUGGGGGAGCCGUCGAAGGUGGGACUGGUGAUUAGGACU